Molecule: ribosomal RNA, 460 nt
Filed under: uncultured bacterium
Lineage: Bacteria
Description: partial 16S ribosomal RNA
Rfam family: Bacterial small subunit ribosomal RNA
Source: RNAcentral
CCUACGGGUGGCAGCAGUGAGGAAUAUUGGUCAAUGGACGCAAGUCUGAACCAGCCAUGCCGCGUGCAGGAUGACGGCUCUAUGAGUUGUAAACUGCUUUUGUACGAGGGUAAACCCCGAUUCGUGUGUCGGACUGAAAGUAUCUGACGAAUAAGGAUCGGCUAACUCCGUGCCAGCAGCCGCGGUAAUACGGAGGAUGCGAGCGUUAUCCGGAUUUAUUGGGUUUAAAGGGUGCGUAGGCGGUUUGGUAAGUUAGCGGUGAAAUGUCGGGGCUCAACCCCGAAACUGCCGUUAAUACUGUUGGACUAGAGAAGUGUUGAGGUAGGAGGAAUGUACGGUGUAGCGGUGAAAUGCUUAGAGAGUAUACAGAACACCGAUUGCGGAGGCAGCUUACCAGCCGCUAUUUGACGGUGAGGCACGAAAGCGUGGGUAGCAAACAGGAUUAGAUACCCGAGUAGUC